GGUACCUGGCGGCGUGCCUAAUACAUGCAAGUCGAGCGAACAGACGAGGAGCUUGCUCCUCUGACGUUAGCGGCGGACGGGUGAGUAACACGUGGAUAACCUACCUAUAAGACUGGGAUAACUUCGGGAAACCGGAGCUAAUACCGGAUAAUAUAUUGAACCGCAUGGUUCAAUAGUGAAAGACGGUUUUGCUGUCACUUAUAGAUGGAUCCGCGCCGCAUUAGCUAGUUGGUAAGGUAACGGCUUACCAAGGCAACGAUGCGUAGCCGACCUGAGAGGGUGAUCGGCCACACUGGAACUGAGACACGGUCCAGACUCCUACGGGAGGCAGCAGUAGGGAAUCUUCCGCAAUGGGCGAAAGCCUGACGGAGCAACGCCGCGUGAGUGAUGAAGGUCUUCGGAUCGUAAAACUCUGUUAUUAGGGAAGAACAAAUGUGUAAGUAACUAUGCACGUCUUGACGGUACCUAAUCAGAAAGCCACGGCUAACUACGUGCCAGCAGCCGCGGUAAUACGUAGGUGGCAAGCGUUAUCCGGAAUUAUUGGGCGUAAAGCGCGCGUAGGCGGUUUUUUAAGUCUGAUGUGAAAGCCCACGGCUCAACCGUGGAGGGUCAUUGGAAACUGGAAAACGUGAGUGCAGAAGAGGAAAGUGGAAUUCCAUGCGUCAGCGGUGAAAAUGCGCAUAAUAUAUGUGAGGAACACCAGUGGUGUAAGGAGACUUUCUGGGCUGUAACUGACGCCUGAUUUAUGACAACCGUGGUUGAUCAAAACAUGAUUAGAUUACCUUGGGAU
Molecule: ribosomal RNA, 790 nt
Filed under: Staphylococcus sp. AG03-1
Lineage: Bacteria; Bacillati; Bacillota; Bacilli; Caryophanales; Staphylococcaceae
Description: bacterial SSU rRNA
Rfam family: Bacterial small subunit ribosomal RNA
Source: RNAcentral